AUGGGCGCGGCCGCGGCGACUGCGGCCAGGGCCAGGAGCGACGACGAGGUGGGCUACGUCUUACGAGGAGGCAAGAGGGGAGAGGGGUUGGAUGGUGCGCUCACCGGGCGGCUCAAGAAGGCCUGUGAGAGUUUAGUAGUGCAUGAGGGUGACGGAGCGGCUCGGCGCAGCUCCGGCGAGGAAGGCGUGGUCGAGGUCGUUCCCGAGGACGCGGUCGCUCCCGACUGGUUCCAGCGGCCGGAGUCGAAGUAG
RNAcentral lists this ribosomal RNA (252 nucleotides) under Triticum aestivum (bread wheat). Its description in RNAcentral is "partial small subunit ribosomal RNA". Lineage: Eukaryota; Viridiplantae; Streptophyta; Magnoliopsida; Poales; Poaceae. The record is from RNAcentral.